Molecule: ribosomal RNA, 433 nt
Filed under: uncultured bacterium
Lineage: Bacteria
Description: bacterial SSU rRNA
Rfam family: Bacterial small subunit ribosomal RNA
Source: RNAcentral
UAAGGGAAUAUUGGUCAAUGGACGCAAGUCUGAACCAGCCAUGCCGCGUGGAGGAUGAAGGUCCUCUGGAUUGUAAACUUCUUUUAUCUGGGAAGAAAUCCUCGAAUUCUUCGGGGUUGACGGUACCAGAUGAAUAAGCACCGGCUAACUCCGUGCCAGCAGCCGCGGUAAUACGGAGGGUGCAAGCGUUAUCCGGAUUCACUGGGUUUAAAGGGUGCGUAGGCGGACAGGUAAGUCAGUGGUGAAAUCUCUGGGCUUAACUCAGAAACUGCCGUUGAUACUAUCUGUCUUGAAUAUCCUGGAGGUAAGCGGAAUAUGUCAUGUAGCGGUGAAAUGCUUAGAUAUGACAUAGAACACCGAUAGCGAAGGCAGCUUACUACAGGAUGAUUGACGCUGAGGCACGAAAGCGUGGAGCAAACAGGAUUAGAUACCC